UUAACCAGAAAGCCACGGCUAACUACGUGCCAGCAGCCGCGGUAAUACGUAGGUGGCAAGCGUUGUCCGGAUUUAUUGGGCGUAAAGCGAGCGCAGGCGGUUUUUUAAGUCUGAUGUGAAAGCUUUCGGCUCAACCGAAGAAGUGCAUCGGAAACUGGGAAACUUGAGUGCAGAAGAGGACAGUGGAACUCCAUGUGUAGCGGUGAAAUGCGUAGAUAUAUGGAAGAACACCAGUGGCGAAGGCGGCUGUCUGGUCUGUAACUGACGCUGAGGCUCGAAAGUAUGGGUAGCAAACAGGAUUAGAUACCCUGGUAGUCCAUACCGUAAACGAUGAAUGCUAAGUGUUGGAGGGUUUCCGCCCUUCAGUGCUGCAGCUAACGCAUUAAGCAUUCCGCCUGGGGAGUACGGCCGCAAGGCUGAAACUCAAAGGAAUUGACGGGGGCCCGCACAAGCGGUGGAGCAUGUGGUUUAAUUCGAAGCUACGCGAAGAACCUUACCAGGUCUUGACAUACUAUGCAAAUCUAAGAGAUUAGACGUUCCCUUCGGGGACAUGGAUACAGGUGGUGCAUGGUUGUCGUCAGCUCGUGUCGUGAGAUGUUGGGUUAAGUCCCGCAACGAGCGCAACCCUUAUUAUCAGUUGCCAGCAUUAAGUUGGGCACUCUGGUGAGACUGCCGGUGACAAACCGGAGGAAGGUGGGGAUGACGUCAAAUCAUCAUGCCCCUUAUGACCUGGGCUACACACGUGCUACAAUGGAUGGUACAACGAGUUGCGAACUCGCGAGAGUAAGCUAAUCUCUUAAAGCCAUUCUCAGUUCGGAUUGUAGGCUGCAACUCGCCUACAUGAAGUCGGAAUCGCUAGUAAUCGCGGAUCAGCAUGCCGCGGUGAAUACGUUCCCGGGCCUUGUACACACCGCCCGUCACACCAUGAGAGUUUGUAACACCCAAAGUCGGUGGGGUAACCUUUUAGGAACCAGCCGCUAAAGGGUGGACCAGGGUUGUG
RNAcentral lists this ribosomal RNA (1000 nucleotides) under Lactiplantibacillus plantarum. RNAcentral describes it as "bacterial SSU rRNA". It matches the Rfam family "Bacterial small subunit ribosomal RNA", at positions 479 to 1479 of the family's 1533-position model. Lineage: Bacteria; Bacillati; Bacillota; Bacilli; Lactobacillales; Lactobacillaceae. The record is from RNAcentral.